GGUCUUGUGGCCGGCGACGACGAUCGAUCGUUUGACGACGGGGGAUUUCAUGCUGGCUUCCCGUCAUCAAUGCGGUGCUGAUCGAGGAUGUCGCUGGCGCGCUGUGCCUGCUGUUCGUCGCGGCUGCGCUCGCCGAAGCGAAUGCGAUUGGUCUCGGCCUGCUUAUCUGCUUCUUCACGCGCGAUGCGCUUUUUGAUUUGUUUCAGGUUGAC
Molecule: unclassified non-coding RNA, 212 nt
Filed under: Hevea brasiliensis (rubber tree)
Lineage: Eukaryota; Viridiplantae; Streptophyta; Magnoliopsida; Malpighiales; Euphorbiaceae
Source: RNAcentral